Molecule: long non-coding RNA, 2821 nt
Organism: Lotus japonicus
Lineage: Eukaryota; Viridiplantae; Streptophyta; Magnoliopsida; Fabales; Fabaceae
Exons: 4
Source: RefSeq, a predicted model, not a curated record
CACUCUUUCAUUCAAUUUCAUCUGAAACCCUUCUCCUUCUCUGAGACGUUUCUCUGUUGAAACGCUUUUCACCUCACAUCUGAAACCCUUCUCCUUCUUUGAGCCGUUCUCUAGGGUUUCAGAUAUAUAUAAAAUCAGUCAAGGAUUCGUAUUCUUCCUCAGAGGAUUUCAUGUAUCAGACCAUCUCUGCUUCAGUCAAGGAUCCGCUGCAAUCAGGAUUGACAUGGGAAUUCAGGGCUUCCUCGGCUAGGCUCAUCACGGUGUUAAUCUGAUUUCGUUUGUGAUCUGCUAGGAUUCAAAAUCAUCCUCUGAUACCGUUUGCAAUCUUUUGGGGUUCAAUCAUUAUUAUUGAUGCAUUAUAUAUCUUUCCUUUGCUUCGUUUCUCUGAAUGUCGCUCUGAUUCAGUAUUUACCUCACCAUUCGCUCCGUUCAAGACAAGGUUUGCUCCAUUCUCUGAAUUCCAGACUCCGGUUAGGGAUGCUUUUCACGGCUCCAGUGAGGGGUUGCGUUUUGAUUCUUCCACUUCUUUUAAUAGCUCCAUUAAGGACUCUUUAUCAAGGCUGCCAAGACUCUUUGCUUUUUACAGGCCUCGCUGGGACUCUCGGUGCGAGAAUCAAAUAGAAAGUGGAAUAAAGGGAUGAGAAUUUAUGAGAAUUGAGUGAGUUUUCUAUUUUUGGUUUUCAUAAUGGUUAAAAACUAAUAGAUAGAUGGAUAUCCAGGAGGAUGAGGAUGUGUCGGACACUGAUUUGAGAUUGGGAGAUCACGGACGCGACAGAGGGUACAUAAUUUUCAAUUAGGAGGUCAUUACUAUUGUGGUUGUGUGCUGAUGUGUGUUGCUGGGUUCAUCUAGCGUUUGAUGAGAAGCUUCUUGAACUCUUCAUAUGGAUGUUGGUUACAAGUGAGAAGUAAUGAGCUUUUAAUUCUAUCUUCCGUUUGUUUUGAUGCUAUAAAUUGGCUUCCCAUUUGUUUUUUCUUGGACUAAUUCUUCCUCUUUUGUCCAACAAAUCCAUAUUUGCUAAUCCUUUAUUUUAAAGAAUUCCCUUUUCUCUUCCAAAGAUUAGAGACGAAGGUGGAUUAUGAAUGUUUAAGAGAACUACACAGUUUUGCUGCUUUUGAUUUAUUUUUUCCUUUGUUUAACUUCAUUAGCAAUUUACUUUUUUAUGUGUUUUGUAAAUUUUCAGUUAUAUAAUUGGGUUCCUUUGUUUAUUUAUUUGACUUUUUUUGCAUAAGUGUGAAACAAAGGCUUUCUGUUCUCAGUUGCUCAAUUCGGUGUCUCAGGUUUUUUGCAUAUGAAAAUGUCUUUUUUAGAAGAAAAAAAAUCAAUACAUAUGUAUUUCUAUGAAUCUUUCACUCUCGGAUAUGGUUGUCAUGUGUUGUCUAUUUAUUUGUUAAUUCAGUUUUUCCUUUUCAUUUUUUCUUGGCUCUUCAAUUGUGAACAAUACCUAAAUUGGCAUGUUUGAUAGCAUAUAAUAGAUAUGGAGAUGGAGGCCGCUAGCUACCUUUAGCUAGGUGUUACCUGUUUUCAUGCGAUCUAUUCUUCUUCCUUCAGUUCUCUUUCCUGGUUCUUCAUCUCCCAACCUAAGUUCUGUUCUUAACCCUAAAGCAAAACAGUUCAAUGCAAAAGAAUUAAGUGGUUCUGCACUCAAUGCAGAGACCAGUACACGAAUCAAUUGAAGAACAUCAAAGGCUUUGAGGGACUCCAAGGUGAAGUCAUUCAGUUUAUUUUUAGUGUUCCUUCUAUUAUAUGUGCUCACAGCAUGAGAUGCCUUAGUAUUGGUCUCUGAGUUUUCAGGCAUGUUUAUCGUUUUCUUUCACGAAAUCACAGGUUAACCAAGUUAGUUCCUUUCUCUUUGGUUAAUGUUAAAUGUUCUUCUCAAUAAGAAUCAUAUUCAAAUUGCUGGCUUAUAAAAUUUUGAGAUGUUUUAUUUUGCUAACUGCACCAUUUUUGUUUUGUUGAUCUGCACCUUUCUUUAUGCAAAAUUCAUGGCUAAAGUAGCUUAAACUAAGCAACUUCAAUGGAAUCUUAUACUACACAUAAUUAGUACAAAGAUUUAUUAGAAAAUUGUAAAUUAAGUAUACAUAAUUUUCUCAAGAAGGCUGCAAGUUAAUCUCAAAUCAUAGAAGCCUUGGUCAAUUAUUUCCCAGACUUACAUUCUUCUCAAUAAAAAUCACAUUCAAGUUGUUGGCUAAUAAAUUGAGAUUCUUUUGUUUUUCUAACUAAACCAUUUUCGUUUAUGCUGAUCUGUAGUCUGCACCUUGCUUUACACAAAAUUCAUUCUUAUGAGGUACCUAAUCCUAGAAGCAAAUAAUUGGAUGUCUAUUUGUGCUUGACAACCUCAAUUGUUCAAGAAUACUUUUCAGGUCAUAGAGCAUCCUGGGAAAAAGAUGUAAGCUAUAGAUGGAUGUAAUGGAAGAUGCUUGAUUCAUUUAGCAUGUUGCAACUUUCCAAAGGAGUGUUGCAUGUUGAAACUUUCCAAAGGAGUGUUGCAUGUUGCAACUUUCCAAAGGAGUGUUGCAUGUUGCAGGGCGAAUUCAUUUGUUAAGGAGGCAAUUUGUUGACACAUAUUUAAGAAAAUAUGCAAUGUCUGCUAUGAUGAGAUUGUAGCUUGAAAUUUUCCAAUAACAUUUGAUUUUGAGCUGGGCCUUUCAACUACUUAUUUUUAUUGACCAAAUUGUUGAAUGCACGAUCUCAGUAAGUUUAAUCUUUUUGAAUAAUGAUUGAAAUAAGUGUUCUAUUUGUUGAACAUGAAUGCAGAUAAUUAAAUUAUUUGGUGAGUUUGGUUAAAUCUCAAACUCUUGAACUAUUUAUGUUUUUAUGUUA